UACGGAGGGAGCUAGCGUUGUUCGGAAUUACUGGGCGUAAAGCGCACGUAGGCGGCUUUGUAAGUUAGAGGUGAAAGCCCGGGGCUCAACCCCGGAAUUGCCUUUAAGACUGCAUCGCUUGAAUCCGGGAGAGGUGAGUGGAAUUCCGAGUGUAGAGGUGAAAUUCGUAGAUAUUCGGAAGAACACCAGUGGCGGAAGGCGGCUCAGCUGGACCGGUAUUGACGCUGAGGUGCGAAGCGUGGG
Molecule: ribosomal RNA, 243 nt
Filed under: uncultured bacterium
Lineage: Bacteria
Description: partial 16S ribosomal RNA
Rfam family: Bacterial small subunit ribosomal RNA
Source: RNAcentral